GAUGAAGAACGCAGCGAAAUGCGAUACGUAAUGUGAAUUGCAGAUUUCAGUGAAUCAUCGAAUCUUUGAACGCGCAUUGCGCCCGCCAGUAUUCUGGCGGGCAUGCCUGUUCGAGCGUCAUUUCAACCAUCAAGCGCCUCGCUUGUGUUGGGGCCCUGCGGCUGCCGCAGGCCCCUAAAUCCAGUGGCGGGCUCGUCGUCGUACCGAGUGCAGUAAACAUCCUCGCUCAGGGAACCCGACGGGUGCCGGCCGUGAAACCCCCCCUCCUCAAGGUUGACCUCGGAUCAGGUAGGAAUACCCGCUGAACUUAAGCAUAUCAAUAAGCGGAGGA
Molecule: unclassified non-coding RNA, 331 nt
Filed under: soil metagenome
Description: partial contains 5.8S ribosomal RNA, internal transcribed spacer 2, and large subunit ribosomal RNA
Rfam family: 5.8S ribosomal RNA (bases 1-120)
Source: RNAcentral